UGGUGCAGCCGCGGGUGCCGCCGCCGGGAGCCGCCUUCCCCGGUGCCCGAAGUGACACCAUCUGUCAACUUCAUUUAGACAUUGCGGCCCUCAGCCACACGCCAGGGUGCCAGACGCCCAAAGGGAACUAUUUCAAGGCCAAUAUUUGACUGAUGUCUGGACUUUGGAUGUUCCUGCAAAUGAAGAUUGGAGUUGGCAGUGUAGCCUGCAGCUGCCAGAGGAGGCCCAAGAAGACGUGGGUGUUUAUGAAACUUCCUGUCCAGAGAAAUCAAGUCUCCUGAGCCUGGUUAGAAGCUCAAAAGGCUACAGAAAAGACCAAGUUUCCUAUGCCUCAAUUUUCUUUCUGUUUUUGGAUUUCACCUUCAGGACCAGUUCAACCCAGCAUCCCUGAAGCUUCCAAAUAAAACCAUCAAGGAUGGUAGAUUUUUACAAUGUGCUCUUGCAGAUCUCUGGGGUGUCUGGGACCUUGACAGGGAGUCUGUGGGUUGAAACCAUUUUCAUUAUAAUACUAAGACGAUAUUUCCUUUUUACAUGAGAGUACAAUAGAGUUUUCCAAAAGCUCUAUAGAAUGUGACAAUGUCAUUGUUCUGGUGGGCAAUGGAACGUGUGUUUGUGUAUUCUUAGGUUCUCUAGAAUUUUCUAAGUUAGUGUAGUCGAGGGGUAUAUGUGCACGUUUUUUGAGUUCAACUCCAUUUGUCCUCAGUACUUUUGUUCUUGGUGUCUUAACUAUUUCUACUGUAAUCUUCAUAAAUUGCUAUUUGGAAGUCCCAACAGUUUUCUUGCACUUGUACAGAAAUAUAACAAAAUGUAAAUAAACUUUUGUCUUCUUUCAGAAUUUUAUCUUUUUCUGAAAAAAAAAAACUCUUGUAAAUUUGAUAAUUUUGUCUGAAAUUGUUACUCUUUUAGAACCGAAUAUUUCAUUUAAAAAUAAAAUGGAAUUUAUAACAUAUUUUCAUUAUUUUUGAGAGUGGAUCAUUAACUUUAAAAGAGGGGAUUCGAAGAUGUGCUUUCCCGAAGGUGCAGAAAGAUGCUGAAGAGGACGGAGUUGAAGGGCAACAUUUAAUCCACAGACACUGGAAGAAAUGGUAAAUAAGAAAUGAAAAUGUGAAGAAAGCCAUUUCCCACCUCAGCGCUGUAGAUGUUAAAAAUUCACUGUGUUGUGUCUUAGGCAACAGAAAAAAAAAUGAAGUGUUAUUAUGGUGGUAAUUAAGUUGUGACUUCAUUUUUUUGGACCGAUUAUUCAGAGUUUUAAGAAAAAAACAAUUGAGUAUUUUAAACAUAGACAUGAUGAGUUCCUUUAGAACUCCAAAAUUAUUUGUUACAGCUUUUCAAAGUCGACAUGAAAGAACAACCAGCAUCUUAGAGUAAGUAACCAUAUUGCACGGGCUGGGUAAGUGAUCACACAGCUUAGGGAAGCCUUGCCCAGCCGGCUUUGCACUAGUAAUGAAGAGUCAGCCAAGAGGUGGCACUGCCCCUCGCCAACA
Long non-coding RNA from Marmota monax (woodchuck), 1484 nucleotides. RefSeq lists it as uncharacterized. The transcript has 3 exons. Lineage: Eukaryota; Metazoa; Chordata; Mammalia; Rodentia; Sciuridae. The record is from RefSeq and is a predicted model, not a curated record.